UACGAAGGGGGCUAGCGUUGCUCGGAAUCACUGGGCGUAAAGCGCACGUAGGCGGGUCUUUAAGUCAGGGGGGAAAUCCUGGAGCUCAACUCCAGAACUGCCUUUGAUACUGAGGAUCUCGAGUCCGGGAGAGGUGAGUGGAACUCCGAGUGUAGAGGUGAAAUUCGUAGAUAUUCGGAAGAACACCAGUGGCGAAGGCGGCUCACUGGCCCGGUACUGACGCUGAGGUGCGAAAGCGUGGGGAGCAAACAGG
RNAcentral lists this ribosomal RNA (253 nucleotides) under uncultured bacterium. RNAcentral describes it as "partial 16S ribosomal RNA". It matches the Rfam family "Bacterial small subunit ribosomal RNA", at positions 524 to 776 of the family's 1533-position model. The record is from RNAcentral.